RNAcentral lists this long non-coding RNA (511 nucleotides) under Rattus norvegicus (Norway rat). Its description in RNAcentral is "long non-coding RNA NONRATT026044". The record is from RNAcentral. Lineage: Eukaryota; Metazoa; Chordata; Mammalia; Rodentia; Muridae.
CCGUCCAGCGGGUGCAGGUGCGGACGCACCGGCCAUCACCGCGCGCGGCUGCGCAGCGGGCACCGUAGACACCGGUCUCUGGCUCCCUAGAGCGGGGCAGCCACAGAACCCGAGGCCAUGUCCCAUGAAAAGAGUUUCUUGGUGUCUGGGGACAGCUAUCCUCCCCCAAACCCUGGCUAUCCUGUGGGGCCACAAGCCCCUAUGCCUCCCUAUGUUCAGCCUCCCUACCCUGGGGCCCCAUACCCACAGGCCGCUUUCCAGCCCUCUCCCUAUGGUCAACCAGGGUAUCCCCAUGGUCCCGGUCCCUAUCCACAAGGUGGUUACCCUCAAGGACCCUACCCUCAAGGAGGCUACCCACAGGGGCCAUACCCACAGAGCCCCUUCCCCCCUAACCCCUAUGGACAGCCACCACCCUUCCAGGACCCUGGCUGUAAGUGUAGGGAAAGGUAGGGGCAGGGGCAAGGGAUUCAAGUGCCUUCAAGGAACAUUGACCCAGCCUCUCUGUCCCCAG